RNAcentral lists this signal recognition particle RNA (316 nucleotides) under Methanobacterium sp. RNAcentral's name for it is "signal recognition particle sRNA". It matches the Rfam family "Archaeal signal recognition particle RNA". Lineage: Archaea; Methanobacteriati; Methanobacteriota; Methanobacteria; Methanobacteriales; Methanobacteriaceae. The record is from RNAcentral. RNAcentral also lists the same sequence under 1 other name.
GUGCGGGCUAGACUGGAGGGUUAGGGGUCCUCUAUUAGCACAUAUCCCCUAUAUGGUGCAGUUGAAGUUCAAGAGGCGGCAUAUUAACUAUUUGCCGGCCUUAAAAUUCAAUGUAGAAACCACGUCCUGCAGGAUUAGUGGUAUCAGGGUCUCAGCUGGAGGGCGGAGAUAAACUGAUUUAAUCAUGGGAACGGGUCAGGCCUGGAAAGGAGCAGCUCUACUGUGAACAACUGAUGCUUGCGGAGCAACGGGGCGGAGUUGGAUUUUUAGAUCACCGGUAACUGGAAGGUGUGUCCACUCUUGAACACGCCCUUUU